AAGCAGCCAUCCUUGAAAGAGUGCGUAAUAGCUCACUGGUCGAGUGGUUCUGCGCCGACAAUGUAGUGGGGCUCAAGUACACCGCCGAAGCCGCGGCAAUCAUCUUUUUGGUGGUUGGGUAGGGGAGCGUCGCGUGACUGCUGUGAAGCGCUGGGGUAACCCUAGUGUGGAGUGUGCGCGAGUGAGAAUGCAGGCAUGAGUAGCGAAUGAGGAGUGGAAAACUCCUCCGCCGAAUGACUAAGGGUUCCUGGGCCAGGUUAAUCCUCCCAGGGUGAGUCGGGACCUAAGGCGAGGCCGACAGGCGUAGUCGAUGGAUAACGGGUUGAUAUUCCCGUACCCGUGUGUCCGCGCCCAUGGUGAAUCAGGGAUACUAACCCACCUGAACACGCGCCUUGUGCCGGCCUUUUAGGUUGGUUGGUGUGUGUGAUGCUGGGGACCUGAACUGGUAGUAGCCAAGUGAUGGGGUGACGCAGGAAGGUAGCCGUGCCACGUGAUGGAUAUCGUGGUGUAAGCGUGUGGCCCGUGUUCUAGGUAAAUCCGGAGCACAUGUGGGUGAGGCGUGAUGCGUACCCGUUUUGGGGAAGUUGGUGAUCCUAUGCUGCCGAGAAAAGCCUCUAGCGAUGUGGAUAUACGGCCCGUACCCGAAACCGACACAGGUAGUCAGGUAGAGAAUACUAAGGCGAUCGGGAGAACUGUGGUUAAGGAACUCGGCAAAAUGCCCCCGUAACUUCGGGAGAAGGGGGGCCAUGACUGGUGACCGACGUGGUUGAGCUGGUUGUGGCCGCAGAGAAUAGAGGGAAGCGACUGUUUACUAAAAACACAGGUCCGUGCGAAGACGGGUAAGUCGAUGUAUACGGACUGACGCCUGCCCGGUGCUGGAAGGUUAAGAGGACCUGUUAGACCCCUUUUGCGGGUCGAAGCGGAGAAUUUAAGCCCCAGUAAACGGCGGUGGUAACUAUAACCAUCCUAAGGUAGCGAAAUUCCUUGUCGGGUAAGUUCCGACCUGCACGAAUGGCGUAAC
This 1021-nucleotide ribosomal RNA is filed under the name Corynebacterium sp. RNAcentral describes it as "partial 23S ribosomal RNA". It matches the Rfam family "Bacterial large subunit ribosomal RNA", at positions 1110 to 2005 of the family's 2925-position model. The record is from RNAcentral. Lineage: Bacteria; Bacillati; Actinomycetota; Actinomycetes; Mycobacteriales; Corynebacteriaceae.